This is a long non-coding RNA of Xiphophorus hellerii (green swordtail), 611 nucleotides long. RefSeq lists it as uncharacterized. Lineage: Eukaryota; Metazoa; Chordata; Actinopteri; Cyprinodontiformes; Poeciliidae. The transcript is spliced from 2 exons. The record is from RefSeq and is a predicted model, not a curated record.
UGAGAACUGAACAAAACCUCACUCCAAAUCAGUUGUGGGAACUGGGACAGAUCGGACAUUCAGUGGUUGACCCAGAGAUUCCCCAUAUAAACUGGGAGGAAAGUGGGCUUGUUCCUGAUCCACAUGCUGAAUUGCGAGUACCAGAGUUGGACAGCCCACUUACAGAAGAUCAGAUGGAGCUUCUCCGUGAAAACAUUGACCCCCUACAACCUUCAGAGUCUAGUGGCAUGGACAUUUACAUGGAUACUCUGCAAUAUUUGGAAACUUUACUUGUGACAAAUUAGAUGUCACUUAAAUUUAAAUGUUUGUAAUGAACAGCAUUUUCAAUACCAUUUAUUUAAAAAAUCCAUCAAACAUGUACAAAUAUACAAGCAAGUACAAGCUAGAGAAAGAACCAGCUGGCAAAAAUGUUAACUUUAUAAAGUUUAAUGUACACCAGAAACAUGAAAAUUAUUUUAUGUUUGAAUGCCAAACAUUUGUGGAAUAUUUCAGCAAAAAACCACAUGAUGAACAGGGAUGCCUGACAAACAUUUAGUAGUCACCUCAGGAACACAACUUCAUGUCAAGACUGUGUUGAUGGACAUUAUUUGUAAAAAAAAAAAAAAAAAAAA